RNAcentral lists this small nucleolar RNA (106 nucleotides) under Oryza nivara. Its description in RNAcentral is "Plant small nucleolar RNA R71". It matches the Rfam family "Plant small nucleolar RNA R71". From Rfam's summary of the family: R71 is a member of the C/D box family of snoRNAs containing the C (UGAUGA) and D (CUGA) box motifs. The record is from Rfam by way of RNAcentral. Lineage: Eukaryota; Viridiplantae; Streptophyta; Magnoliopsida; Poales; Poaceae. RNAcentral also lists the same sequence under 1 other name.
AUCGCAUGAUGAGGACAGGCAGCCAUGUGCUCCUGCAGUCGUUCCCAUGCUUCUGGAACGGACUCGUCCCUUGUCUGCUGGAAACUGGAAAUUCAUCCAUGAAGGG